This 349-nucleotide ribosomal RNA is filed under the name Psammotermes sp. JS-2017. RNAcentral's name for it is "partial 12S ribosomal RNA". The record is from RNAcentral. Lineage: Eukaryota; Metazoa; Arthropoda; Insecta; Blattodea; Rhinotermitidae.
UGAGUAGUAUUAGUUAUGUUCUUGAAACUUAAAGAAUUUGGCGGUAUCUUAUUCCGUUCAGAGGAAUCUGUCUCGUUAUCGAUAGUCCACGUUGGACCUUACUUAGUUGCUAUGGUUUGUAUACCGCCGUUUAUUGAUUAUCUUUUUAGUGUUUUUUGAAUUUUCUGGUUUCUUGGUUUAGAUUUAUUUCAGGUCAAGGUGCAGCUUGUUUCUAAGUGUUAUGAUGGAUUACAUUGUUAUUGGUUAUCGGAUUGUUGGAUUCAAUUUCUGGCAUGAAGUUGGAUUUGAUUGUAAUGUUUUGUAGAUUGUUUUCGUGAUAGUGGCUCUAAGAUAUGCACACAUCGCCCGU